Cricetulus griseus (Chinese hamster) is the source of this 1213-nucleotide non-coding RNA. Lineage: Eukaryota; Metazoa; Chordata; Mammalia; Rodentia; Cricetidae. The record is from RefSeq and is a predicted model, not a curated record.
AGCCGGGAGCGAGCCCGAGUGAGGUGCUCGGCGGAAGUCCUCGGAGUCGGUCCCGAACCCGCGGGAGGGAGUCAGCCGCACUUUGCGUACUCUGCACCGGGAAGGGGAGUGUUUUGUUUUCUCUGUGAUUGCAGUUGAGCGAAUGACGUACCUGCUGGAACUGUAGUCAGGCUACUUCGGUAAUAUAAACACACAAAACUUUACAGAGAAGUGCGUUUUUUGUUUGUUUUGUUUUUCGAGACGGGGUAUCUCUGUGUAGCUUUGGAGCCUGUCCUGGCACUCGAUCUGGAGACCAGGCUGGCCUCGAACUCACAGAGAUCCGCCUGCCUCUGCCUCCCGAGUGCUGGGAUUAAAGGUGUGCGCCGCCAACGCCCGGCUAGAGAACUGUUUUUGAGAUAGGGUGGUGUCACGAUUGUGACAAAGGAAAUGGCCCUCGUUCAGUAAGCGGGAAUGCCCGAGACGUUAUCUUUCAGUUUUGCAGAAAGCUGGGUGUCACCCUGACACAAGGCGAAAUGGUUGCUGUGGCCUACUCGACAUUUUGUUUCUCGGUUCUUGUUGGUUUUAAUUCCCUAGUUGCACGUCUCUCCCCCCUUUGGUUUUCAGCGGCUGAAUCCUUUAGGGACAUAAAAGUCUUCCCCAAUUCUAAUACUGCCCCCUCCCCAGAUGCCUCAAGCUUCUGUUUCAAGACACAAAACAUCCAGAGAACGUCCUGGUGCCCAUCAUUGCCUCUUGUGAUUUGUGAGCCCAUUCAGGUGACCGACUGUAACUUUUCAACCCCAGGAUCACCCGAAAGGGCCUAGACGCGCAGCCAGCUGCCAGAUCUCCUUUAAGAUUUGUUGAGCUAGAGGGGCUGCAGAGAGCGAGCCGUAGGAGGUGAAAAGCACUGGCUGCAGAGGACCCAAGUUCUCAGUUCCCGUCACCCACAUGACAGCUUGCAGCCCCCUGACUCCAGUGCCAGAGCAUCUGAUAAUCUCUUCUGGUCUCCGAGGGCACCAUGAACACAUAUGCACAAAUACAUGGAGAUUCCCUCCCCUGGACACAUGAAAUGUUGUAUUUCUGGGGGCUACUACAAGAAAGAGCCGGGCGUUUGUGGCACACUCCUUUAUUCCCAGCACUUGGGAGGCAGAGGCAGAGGGAUCUCUGAGUUCCAGACCAGCCUGGUCUAUAAGAGCGAGUUCCAGAACAGCCUCCAAAUGCCACAGCAGAACCCUGU